Callithrix jacchus (white-tufted-ear marmoset) is the source of this 148-nucleotide unclassified non-coding RNA. It matches the Rfam family "Metazoan signal recognition particle RNA". Rfam says of the family: The signal recognition particle (SRP) is a universally conserved ribonucleoprotein. It is involved in the co-translational targeting of proteins to membranes. The record is from Ensembl. NCBI's taxonomy places the organism in Eukaryota, Metazoa, Chordata, Mammalia, Primates, Cebidae.
GCUGGGCAUGGUGGCGCAUGCCUGUAGUCCCAGCUACUUGGGAGGCUGAGGCAGGAGAAUUGCUUGAACCAGGAGGCAGAGGUUGCAGUGAGCCGAGAUUGCACCACUGCACACUCCAGCCUGGUGACAGAGCAAGACUCUGUCUCAA